AGAGUUUGAUCCUGGCUCAGGACGAACGCUGGCGGCGUGCCUAACACAUGCAAGUCGAACGGAGAUAUCAAAUGAAGCUUGCGAUUUGAUAUCUUAGUGGCGGACGGGUGAGUAACGCGUGGGUAAUCUGCCCAUAAGUGGGGGACAACAGUUGGAAACGACUGCUAAUACCGCAUAUGGUGAGCAAUCAUUAAAGGAGGCCUCUUAACAAUGCUUCCGCUUAUGGAUGAGCCCGCGUCUGAUUAGCUAGUUGGUGGGGUAAAGGCCUACCAAGGCGACGAUCAGUAGCCGGCCUGAGAGGGUGAACGGCCACACUGGGACUGAGACACGGCCCAGACUCCUACGGGAGGCAGCAGUGGGGAAUAUUGCGCAAUGGGGGAAACCCUGACGCAGCGACGCCGCGUGAGCGAUGAAGGCCUUAGGGUUGUAAAGCUCUGUUUUAAGGGACGAAUGUUACGGGGAGUAAUAUGCCCUGUAAAUGACGGUACCUUAAGAGGAAGCCCCGGCUAACUACGUGCCAGCAGCCGCGGUAAGACGUAGGGGGCGAGCGUUGUCCGGAAUUACUGGGCGUAAAGAGCACGUAGGCGGAGACUUAAGUCAGGUGUGAAAGACCGGGGCUCAACCCCGGGGUGGCACUUGAAACUGGGUCCCUUGAGGGCAGGAGAGGAAAGUAGAAUUCCUGGUGUAGCGGUGAAAUGCGUAGAAAUCAGGAGGAAUACCAGUGGCGAAGGCGACUUUCUGGACUGACCCUGACACUGAGGUGCGAAAGCGUGGGUAGCAAACAGGAUUAGACACCCUGGUAGUCCACGCCGUAAACGAUGGAUACUAGGUGUGGGAGGUAUCGACCCCUUCCGUGCCGCAGCUAACGCAAUAAGUAUCCCGCCUGGGGAGUACGGUCGCAAGGCUAAACUCAAAGGAAUUGACGG
Molecule: ribosomal RNA, 926 nt
Filed under: uncultured bacterium
Lineage: Bacteria
Description: bacterial SSU rRNA
Rfam family: Bacterial small subunit ribosomal RNA
Source: RNAcentral